GAUGAACGCUAGCGGAAGGCCUAAUACAUGCAAGGCGAGGGCACAGCAAUGUGACCGUCGAACGGGUGCGUAACGCGUAUGCAACCUACCUACUACUGGGGAAUAGCCCAUGGAAACGUGGAUUAAUACCGCAUAAUACAGGGGGCCGGCAUCGGUCUAUUUGUUAAAGAUUUAUUGGUAGUAGAUGGGCAUGCGUCUGAUUAGUUAGUUGGCGAGGUAACGGCUCACCAAGACGAUGACCAGUAGGGGAGCUGAGAGGUUGAUCCCCCACAUGGGCACUGAGAUACGGGUCCA
This 294-nucleotide ribosomal RNA is filed under the name uncultured bacterium. RNAcentral describes it as "partial 16S ribosomal RNA". It matches the Rfam family "Bacterial small subunit ribosomal RNA", at positions 28 to 334 of the family's 1533-position model. The record is from RNAcentral.